This 787-nucleotide non-coding RNA is filed under the name Chrysis inflata. The record is from RNAcentral. Lineage: Eukaryota; Metazoa; Arthropoda; Insecta; Hymenoptera; Chrysididae.
AAAUAAUUGUAAUAAUUUAAUUUUAAAAAAUUAAUAAAUUUAAUUAUAGUUUAGAAAUUAAUUUUAAGAUUUUUUUAUAUAUAAUUUUUAGAGAUGUGAUUUAAAGAUUUAAUAUUUAGUAUAUAAAAUUAAAAAUAUUAAUUAAUAUUAAUUUUAGAAAUUUUUUUUUAAUUUGGAUAAAUAAUUGUGCCAGCAAUCGUGGUUAGACAAUUUAAGUGAAUUAAUUAUAUUAAAUUAAAAUAAAAUGAGAUUUUAUAUUUAAUAUUGAAAUUAUUAGGUGAAAUUAGUAAUUUUAUAUAUAAUAUAGAAUAAAAAUUAAUUUGAUUUUUUGAAGAAUUUUUAAAAAACUAGGAUUAGAUACCCUAUUAUAUAAUUUUAAAAGUUAAGUUUUAUUAUUAAAUGAUAAAUCAUUAAAUUUAAAUAAUUUGGCGGUAUUUUAAUUUUAUUAGAGGAAUUUGUUAAUUAAUUGAUAAUACUCGAUAAGUUUAACUUUAAUUAAUUUUUAUAUUGUUGUUUAAAAAGUAUUUUUUAAGGGAGUAUUUUUAAUUUUUGUUAAAAAUAAAUUCAGAUCAAAAUGAAGUUUAUAUUAAAGGAUAAAUGAAUUACAAUAAAUUUAAUUUAAAUGGAUUAAUAUUUUAAAAAUUAUUAUGAAGGUGGAUUUAAAAGUAAAAUAAAAUAAUUAUUUUAUUUGAUUUAAAUUUUAAGAUAUGUACAAAUUGCCCGUCGUUCUCUUUGAAAAAGGAGGUAAGUCGUAACAAAGUAAAAGUACUGGAAAGUGUUUUUAGAU